UGUCCAGUAGCACCUUAGAGACCAACUCUGAAGUGUGCAUGCACACAAAAGCUUAUACCCAGAACAAACUUAGUUGGUCUCUAAGGUGCUACUGGACA
Molecule: non-coding RNA, 98 nt
Organism: Podarcis lilfordi (Lilford's wall lizard)
Lineage: Eukaryota; Metazoa; Chordata; Lepidosauria; Squamata; Lacertidae
Source: the annotation of a GenBank genome assembly